CGGCGAACGGGUGAGGAAUGCAUGGGUAACCUACCCUCGAGUGGGGAAUAACUAGCCGAAAGGUUAGCUAAUACCGCAUACGUUUCCGGGACUUAGGUUCCGGAAAGAAAGCAAUACCGUGGGUAUUGCGCUCAUGGAUGGGCUCAUNNNNUAUCAGCUUGUUGGUGAGGUAACGGCUCACCAAGGCUUCGACGGGUAGCUGGUCUGAGAGGACGAUCAGCCACACUGGCACUGCGACACGGGCCAGACUCCUACGGGAGGCAGCAGUAAGGAAUAUUGCGCAAUGGACGAAAGUCUGACGCAGCGACGCCGCGUGGGGGAUGAAGGUCUUCGGAUUGUAAACCCCUUUCGGGAGGGAAGAUGGAGUGGGUAACCACUUGGACGGUACCUCCAGAAGCAGCCACGGCUAACUUCGUGCCAGCAGCCGCGGUAAUACGAAGGUGGCAAGCGUUGUUCGGAUUCACUGGGCGUACAGGGAGCGUAGGCGGUUGGGUAAGCCCUCCGUGAAAUCUCCGGGCCUAACCCGGAAAGUGCAGAGGGGACUGCUUAGCUAGAGGAUGGGAGAGGAGCGCGGAAUUCCCGGUGUAGCGGUGAAAUGCGUAGAGAUCGGGAGGAAGGCCGGUGGCGAAGGCGGCGCUCUGGAACAUUUCUGACGCUGAGGCUCGAAAGCGUGGGGAGCAAACAGGAUUAGAUACCCCGGUAGUCCACGCCUUAAACUAUGGAUACUAAGUGUCGGCGGUUUACCGCCGGUGCCGCAGCUAACGCAAUAAGUAUCCCGCCUGGGAAGUACGGCCGCAAGGUUGAAACUCAAAGGAAUUGACGGGGGCCCGCAC
Molecule: ribosomal RNA, 833 nt
Filed under: uncultured bacterium
Lineage: Bacteria
Description: bacterial SSU rRNA
Rfam family: Bacterial small subunit ribosomal RNA
Source: RNAcentral